AUUCCAGCUCCAAUAGCGUAUAUUUAAGUUGUUGCAGUUAAAAAGCUCGUAGUUGGAUUUUGGGUCGGGGGCACCGGUCCGCCGUUCCGGUGUGCACUGGUGGCCCCUUCCUUUCUGCCGGGGACGUGCGUCGCACUUAAUUGGGUGGCGUUCGGAGUCGGCGUUGUUACUUUGAAAAAAUUAGAGUGUUCAAAGCAAGCCAUCGCUCUGAAUACAUUAGCAUGGAAUAACAUGAUAGGACUCUGGUCUUAUUUUGUUGGUUUCCGAGACUGGAGUAAUGAUUAAGAGGGACAGUCGGGGGCAUCCGUAUUUCAUUGUCAGAGGUGAAAUUCUUGGAUUUAUGAAAGACGAACUUCUGCGAAAGCAUUUGCCAAGGAUGUUUUCAUUA
RNAcentral lists this ribosomal RNA (388 nucleotides) under Prasinoderma sp. RNAcentral's name for it is "partial small subunit ribosomal RNA". It matches the Rfam family "Eukaryotic small subunit ribosomal RNA", at positions 582 to 975 of the family's 1831-position model. The record is from RNAcentral. Lineage: Eukaryota; Viridiplantae; Prasinodermophyta; Prasinodermophyceae; Prasinodermales; Prasinodermaceae.